Ostrea edulis (European flat oyster) is the source of this 3935-nucleotide long non-coding RNA. RefSeq lists it as uncharacterized. The transcript has 4 exons. Lineage: Eukaryota; Metazoa; Mollusca; Bivalvia; Ostreida; Ostreidae. The record is from RefSeq and is a predicted model, not a curated record.
GUUAUCUUACUGCGGAUCAUUAUGACCUGUCGCCGCCCUGUUCUUAAAAAAAAUCUUACGAUUAAGAUGAAAAUUUUAAAACACUGUAAUUCUGUUAAAAUUCUUCACUUGAGCAAAACAAAGUAUACAGUUUGUAUAUACAGAGGUGACGAAACUGGCCUUCUAACUCGGGGCAUGCCUGCACUCAGUUGAGUAUAAGGCAGAGACAAAAAAAUUAUCUUAGUCGUAAGAUUUUUUGUGAAAAUGGCCAUAGACUUAUAAAUUUAUAACAAAUGACAUUUUUUGCCUGAAUCGUAAUGUUCUAUGUUUUCUCUCCUCUUUUUGUUUUCUUUGUUUUCUUUUUUUUUUUAAUCAGAGCGAAAAUUACUCAUCUGAUCUGUUUUUGAACUUACGACCCAUCAUAGAUUCAUGAUAUAUAUUUCACAUAAAACAAGAAUUAAUGCUAUAAAUUAUAAAAUGACCAGUGGCUAGUCAACAGCUGGUGUUUUGUACAUAUGGUAGACAGACACGUGGGAAGAAAAAAAAAACCCGAUUGUAAUUUUAUGUAGAUCAUGUGGUUAACAUGUUUAAUGUGAAAAUUUUAGAUCCAUUACAACUUUGUUACUAAUACAAUUAGAUAAAUGUUAACUUAACGUACAACGAUAGAUGACAGGGAAGGGGGGAGGGGGCAUCGCUUGAUGCAGAGAUGACGUUGUACAACAGUUAACAAUACCCCCUUCUGCGGGCGGGGGGGGGGGGGGGGGCUCCUGAUGCACCCGUAUGCUGUAUUCUUAAUUUUGUUUUGACCUGAUUUGCGUUCUUCAGUGACUAUGAACUACACAGCAUUGUUUACAGUAUGUACAGUUGGAACAGAUUUACAGGAUAAUAGUUUGUAUAUACACUGUACAUUAAUAAUUCUUGUCUUGUGUUUACUGUGGCAUGGAAAAUAAAUUUGUUCAGUUUGUACACACACUUUUUAAAAACAAUCCGAACACGGUUUGUAGAUCGUCAUGUCUCUCCCGAGUAAUUCUAAUUAAUUAAUACAAUGUCGUCCCUUUUUUUCAGAAUGAUUUACUUGAGAGAAAUGCCUAGCGCAGUUGCAGUCAUACUAACAAUGUCAAAAGGCGCUGUGCUGUCAAGUCAGGCCAACACUUUUGUCAAGAAAAUAUUGCUUAAUUUAAGGAUGAAGAGAUUUAUGUGAAAAGAGAAAGCCAAGUCCAGUUGUUGGUCUUUUUCAGGUGUAAAAUAAAUUUUGGUCUUGUCAGAUACAGUGACAGAGCAACCAAACACAACAAAACAUUACAUGUAUCAUGUCAACUGCAGAGCGCCGCACGUGUCAAGCAGCGCGGGAGGGGGGCCUAGAAUUUACACGUCCGCGCGAUAAAUAUAACAUGUUCCUCGCUCCUUUUUACGUAAAGAAUAUGAAAUAUUGUCUCAUUAAAUCCGCACAUGUGAAAUUUACGAGUUCACCUUGUAGUUUUGACGAUUUAAAUUUUCAAUUUUUUUUUUUACAUUUUUAUAUAUGACGAAUUCUUGAAAUGUCUAUAUAAAGCUUCAUGGAGGAAGCCUAGUUCACGCUGACAUGUGCCAUAUAGUAUGAAAACUAGGAACAUCUACUGAAUCCACGUUUUCUUCAAUAUUGUUACAGUAACCCUAAAUAAAUUUUCGGAAAGAUAAUUAUUUUUUUCAGAAUGGUUUAUAGCAUUCCUUCAAAUCAAGAGUAUACAGGAAAAAAAUCUACAACUCAUUCAUCUCCUAAAACCUUGUGGGUUUUUUAAAAAUCAUUUUUUUUUUUUUUUUUUUUUUUUUUUGUGGUGGUCAUGACUAAUUUUGUAUAUAAUAAUAUGCAGCAUUUCGAAAUGCUCGUUGAUCACAAAAAAUUAACUUUGCAUUCGUUGAUACAGCAUAAAGCCAAAUGACAGAAAACUAUCGUCAAUUAACUCCAACAAGUUUGAUAUUUGUAAAACGAGGAAAAAAUGUGAAAAUUUUGAUUAAUUCGAUAAUUUCUUUUAUUUCGCUAACUAAAUACGAUGUUGUGGGUGUUCAGGCGACAUUCUUAUCAAGUGCAAACAACAUAUAAUAGUCUGGGAAAAUAUAUUCUCACGUACAUGUAUUUACCUCCAUCUAUGUAUGAAAAUCAAAAUCCAGACCAGGACCUCGCAUUGGGCUCCAAGGAAAAUGGGAAAGCUGCAUAUCAAAGAAUAAUAGACCGGAAGUUUCCGAGAAAGCUUCUCUCAUAAAGGGAUUUGACAAAUGCCAUAUUGCAGACCAUUGCACGAGUCCGGGAAGUUGGUGGCGAUGGACAAUCAGUAUAAAUAAUUUCUGAAUUACCACAUCUGAACUCCUGACUCCAGUUAUAAUGGUUCAGGAAAAUGUAUCAUGUGUCAUUACAAAUAAAUAAUGGACACUAAUAGCCGCACUGCCAAAUAAUAUCCUGAGUCCAGAAAAGAUAUUGCAGUAGAACCAUCACACAAGUAGCGCUAAUGUGGUGAUUGCAGGCGUCUUGGUCCAUGGUGAAGUGGAGUUGGUCUUCCCAUAUUUUAUCUAACACUAACACACUGACCAAUGUUUUCAAAAUAAUAAAAACCAAUCGAAUAAUCAUAAUGUUCGAUUGAAAAGAGCUCACCAUAUUCAGAGAAGGAUAUUCAUCUGAACACGUAUAACAUUUUUAAAAAGAAAAAUAGCUUUCAACAUAUACGUUUAGAAACUUUUCUGUUUUGAAUACGAGAGAACAAGUCGUAAACAUAACAAUAAAACAAUUGCGAAAGAUGAUGGAGAAAAUUAUGCGAAAUGCCCAGCCACGUAAAACGGGUAUCGAUACUUGAAAAUCAAUGACACUGCGAUAAAACACGGUAUACUACUUUGGACACUCAUCAAUUAUGGAGUUGUGUCAUCCGAUCCCGGACAAGCCAGUGGUCAUUAUUUUAUUGGUAAACCUUUUCAAUGUCGUAUCUAAAGCAAAAAUCAUGCAUACUGUAUAGUGAAUACCAAAAUCUCCCUUUGGAGUAGUCCUAUCUACUUUCUAAUCUCCUGCCUCCGAGAAUUCCAAAAUUGGAUGAAUGUGUGCUACAGGCAAUUUUCAGAACAAAAAUAUCAAUUAUUAAAUGAGGGAUCAAAUGUGAUGAAUAGGUUUGAAAAGUGAUGCCUUAAUCAUUUUAUGAAAAUGGGUAAGCGUCAAAGAGAUCCCGAGGGAAUAGGUGACCACUGGCAACAGCUGAACGUAACCAAAGACGAUACAUAUUCAGAGUCAAUAACACCGUUCAGGUCAGGUGACUUUCCCUGCAGUCAGACUGCCAACACGCGGUGAUAUACACAACAAUAGCAAUCAAAGAAUUAUAAACUGUACAUUUCAAAUAUCAUGUAAAUGUGUUAAUGAAUGAAAUGAUUAUAGACGUGUAUUGGAAAGUGUUCUUUCUUUACGUCCCAUUCGAGACGUUUUCACUCAUAUACAUGUAUAUUGAAACGUCAUCAGCCUUUAGGUGAAGUGCCACAAAUUCUAAACUACGUAACUUAGGGCUCAAGACCGUAGUAUUAGCGGGGGUUCUUUAUCGUGCCGAGAUCAUACCCGUAAUCCCAGCGACUUCCACUUCUAGUAGCGGGCGCUUGGUGGAGGUUCAUUCACACCUAUCUUAAACGCCGUAGGUUUGACGCCGCGCCGUAAUCAAGAAUCAAAGCCGGGAUCUCCAGAGCGAACACGUCCUAACCACUUGGCUACAACAACUAGCCUGUAAGAAAGUUGAAGUCAGAUAAAACACAAACUUCGUUGUAUUUAUAGAGUAAAGAAUUCGUGCAUACCAGUGCCGUAGAUCUCUCCGUACAGCGCUCGCUUGCAGACAGUAUGGCAUACUGUAGUACGAUCACAUGUAGGUAGCUCUCUCGGUAAAGCGCUCACUUGCAGGUAGUAGUAUACGGUAGUGCGAUCACAUGUAGGUAGCUCUCUCGGUAAAGCGCUCACU